RNAcentral lists this ribosomal RNA (253 nucleotides) under uncultured bacterium. RNAcentral describes it as "partial 16S ribosomal RNA". It matches the Rfam family "Bacterial small subunit ribosomal RNA", at positions 524 to 776 of the family's 1533-position model. The record is from RNAcentral.
UACGAAGGGGGCUAGCGUUGCUCGGAAUCACUGGGCGUAAAGGGCGCGUAGGCGGAUGAUUUAGUCGAGGGUGAAAGCCUGUGGCUCAACCACAGAAUUGCCUUCGAUACUGGUUGGCUUGAGACCGGAAGAGGACAGCGGAACUGCGAGUGUAGAGGUGAAAUUCGUAGAUAUUCGCAAGAACACCAGUGGCGAAGGCGGCUGUCUGGUCCGGUUCUGACGCUGAGGCGCGAAAGCGUGGGGAGCAAACAGG